Molecule: ribosomal RNA, 797 nt
Filed under: uncultured bacterium
Lineage: Bacteria
Description: bacterial SSU rRNA
Rfam family: Bacterial small subunit ribosomal RNA
Source: RNAcentral
AGAGUUUGAUCCUGGCUCAGAUUGAACGCUGGCGGCAUGCCUUACACAUGCAAGUCGAACGGCAGCAUGAUGUGUAGCAAUACACGUUGAUGGCGAGUGGCGAACGGGUGAGUAAUAUAUCGGAACGUGUCCUGUAGCGGGGGAUAACCUAUCGAAAGAUGGACUAAUACCGCAUACGCUCUACGGAGGAAAGCGGGGGUCGCAAGACCUCGCACUAUAGGAGCGGCCGAUAUCGGAUUAGCUAGUUGGCGGGGUAAAAGCCCACCAAGGCGACGAUCCGUAGCUGGUCUGAGAGAACGACCAGCCACACUGGGACUGAGACACGGCCCAGACUCCUACGGGAGGCAGCAGUGGGGAAUUUUGGACAAUGGGCGCAAGCCUGAUCCAGCCAUGCCGCGUGAGUGAAGAAGGCUUCGGGUUGUAAAGCUCUUUCGGCGGGGACGAAAUGGCGCGGGGUAAUAUCCCGUGUCGAUGACGGUACCCGAAGAAGAAGGACCGGCUAACUACGUGCCAGCAGCCGCGGUAAUACGUAGGGUCCAAGCGUUAAUCGGAAUUACUGGGCGUAAAGCGUGCGUAGGCGGUCUCGCAAGUCCGAUGUGAAAUCCCCGGGCUUAACCUGGGACUGCGUUGGAAACUAUGAGACUAGAGUGCGGCAGAGGGGGGUGGAAUUCCAGGUGUAGCAGUGAAAUGCGUAGAUAUCUGGAGGAACACCGAUGGCGAAGGCACCCCCUGGGCCAGCACUGACGCUCAUACACGAAAGCGUGGGGAGCAAACAGGAUUAGAUACCCUAGUAGUCC